This 253-nucleotide ribosomal RNA is filed under the name uncultured bacterium. RNAcentral describes it as "partial 16S ribosomal RNA". It matches the Rfam family "Bacterial small subunit ribosomal RNA", at positions 524 to 776 of the family's 1533-position model. The record is from RNAcentral.
UACGUAGGGGGCAAGCGUUGUCCGGAUUUAUUGGGCGUAAAGAGCGUGUAGGCGGCCUGACAGGUCUGCUGUGAAAACUCGAGGCUCAACCUCGAGAUGUCGGCGGAAACCGUCUGGCCAGAGUCCGGAAGAGGAGAGUGGAAUUCCUGGUGUAGCGGUGAAAUGCGCAGAUAUCAGGAAGAACACCUAUGGCGAAGGCAGCUCUCUGGGACGGUACUGACGCUGAGACGCGAAAGCGUGGGGAGCGAACAGG